Vicia villosa (hairy vetch) is the source of this 417-nucleotide long non-coding RNA. RefSeq lists it as uncharacterized. The transcript is spliced from 3 exons. NCBI's taxonomy places the organism in Eukaryota, Viridiplantae, Streptophyta, Magnoliopsida, Fabales, Fabaceae. The record is from RefSeq and is a predicted model, not a curated record.
CUCUCUUUUUUCCUCCGUCCCUCUAAAAAAAAUUUCCUGUUGUAGAUCUAUAUGAAGAUGAUAAAAAUGAUUUUAAAGUGUAAGUAACAACAUAUAAGUUUUCUCUGUUCCAUAAUUUUCACUUCUUUUAUUUUUACAUGUUGUAGAUCUAUCAAAACAAAGACGAAUUCGGGUACUAAAACAACAACGACAAUAUGUGUGACAAUAUAAAUUAUGAUUUGAGGAAGACUUGGGCGUCAAUGUUGCAGAUCCAGAAGUAUGAAUAUUCUGGUGACUUUUAUUUUGUCAUAUUUGUAGGCACUUUCAGUUUGCCGUUGUAUGCUAUUGACCUAGGUGUUUGAAGAUUGUUUGCAGAUUCACCUUUUUCCGUUUUUAGCGAUCUUGAAUUUGUAAUGAUCGAUGUAUUUUUCAAUUUGA